CCUACGGGGGGCUGCAGUGGGGAAUUUUCCGCAAUGGGCGAAAGCCUGACGGAGCAAUACCGCGUGAGGGAUGACGGCCUAUGGGUUGUAAACCUCUUUUUUCAGGGAGGAAUCAAUGACGUGUACCUGAGGAAUAAGCAUCGGCUAACUCCGUGCCAGCAGCCGCGGUAAGACGGAGGAUGCAAGUGUUAUCCGGAAUCACUGGGCGUAAAGCGUCUGUAGGUGGUCAAAUAAGUCAACUGUUAAAUCUUGAGGCUCAACCUCAAAAUCGCAGUCGAAACUAUUCGACUAGAGUAUAGUAGGGGUAAAGGGAAUUUCCAGUGGAGCGGUGAAAUGCGUAGAGAUUGGAAAGAACACCGAUGGCGAAGGCACUUUACUGGGCUAUUACUAACACUGAGAGACGAAAGCUAGGGUAGCAAAUGGGAUUAGAUACCCAGGUAGUC
Molecule: ribosomal RNA, 443 nt
Filed under: uncultured bacterium
Lineage: Bacteria
Description: bacterial SSU rRNA
Rfam family: Bacterial small subunit ribosomal RNA
Source: RNAcentral